RNAcentral lists this ribosomal RNA (779 nucleotides) under Arthrobacter sp. RNAcentral's name for it is "bacterial SSU rRNA". It matches the Rfam family "Bacterial small subunit ribosomal RNA", at positions 617 to 1391 of the family's 1533-position model. The record is from RNAcentral. Lineage: Bacteria; Bacillati; Actinomycetota; Actinomycetes; Micrococcales; Micrococcaceae.
GGAUCUGCGGUGGGUACGGGCAGACUAGAGUGAUGUAGGGGGAGACUGGAAUUCCUGGUGUAGCGGUGAAAUGCGCAGAUAUCAGGAGGAACACCGAUGGCGAAGGCAGGUCUCUGGGCAUUAACUGACGCUGAGGAGCGAAAGCAUGGGGAGCGAACAGGAUUAGAUACCCUGGUAGUCCAUGCCGUAAACGUUGGGCACUAGGUGUGGGGGACAUUCCACGUUUUCCGCGCCGUAGCUAACGCAUUAAGUGCCCCGCCUGGGGAGUACGGCCGCAAGGCUAAAACUCAAAGGAAUUGACGGGGGCCCGCACAAGCGGCGGAGCAUGCGGAUUAAUUCGAUGCAACGCGAAGAACCUUACCAAGGCUUGACAUGGACCGGACCGCCGCAGAAAUGUGGUUUCCCCUUUGGGGCUGGUUUACAGGUGGUGCAUGGUUGUCGUCAGCUCGUGUCGUGAGAUGUUGGGUUAAGUCCCGCAACGAGCGCAACCCUCGUUCUAUGUUGCCAGCACGUGAUGGUGGGGACUCAUAGGAGACUGCCGGGGUCAACUCGGAGGAAGGUGGGGACGACGUCAAAUCAUCAUGCCCCUUAUGUCUUGGGCUUCACGCAUGCUACAAUGGCCGGUACAAAGGGUUGCGAUACUGUGAGGUGGAGCUAAUCCCAAAAAGCCGGUCUCAGUUCGGAUUGGGGUCUGCAACUCGACCCCAUGAAGUCGGAGUCGCUAGUAAUCGCAGAUCAGCAACGCUGCGGUGAAUACGUUCCCGGGCCUUGUACACACC